AUGCGUCUUAUUGCACAUCUUUGCGAGCAGUUUCAAACUCACUAAUGGCACUCACACAAGAUUGGCAAUAAGACGCAUUCAGAACAACCAAAUACAGUGGAAGAUGUGGCAAAGAUUGAAGCCUUGUGCAAUAAUUCAAGUAGAGUUCUCGGAGCCCCAAAACAAGCUUAAUGCUUGAAGGUAAGGUCUCAAACUUGCUUCCUUGUAGAGAUAAUUUAGUCAAGGACGAAAAGGAAGCAAGUUUACUUAGAAGCACUAAUGGAUUGACAUAUGGCCCACAUAUAGAAAGGUUAUCAAGAUGUCCCAAUUGGAAAAAUGUGUUUGGGAGAAUCUUAAGGUUUUUGCAGUCACGCAAACUUAGUACCUUAAGUCGAGAGAGCAAACCAAUUGAUGAGGGUAUUUCUUCUAUUGCUGUUCCCUUCAUUCGUAAGGUUUCUAUACUCUCUGGAAUCUCUGGAAACCUUUUUAUUUUUG
This 474-nucleotide unclassified non-coding RNA is filed under the name Hevea brasiliensis (rubber tree). The record is from RNAcentral. Lineage: Eukaryota; Viridiplantae; Streptophyta; Magnoliopsida; Malpighiales; Euphorbiaceae.